CACCCAGGACGGUGGAUCACUCGGCUCGUGGGUCGAUGAAGAACGCAGCAAAUUGCGCGUCGACAUGUGAACUGCAGGACACAUGAACAUCGACGUUUCGAACGCACAUUGCGGUCCAUGGAUUCCGUUCCCGGGCACGUCUGGCUGAGGGUCG
This 154-nucleotide ribosomal RNA is filed under the name Schistocerca americana (American grasshopper). Its description in RNAcentral is "5.8S ribosomal RNA". It matches the Rfam family "5.8S ribosomal RNA". From Rfam's summary of the family: 5.8S ribosomal RNA (5.8S rRNA) is a component of the large subunit of the eukaryotic ribosome. It is transcribed by RNA polymerase I as part of the 45S precursor that also contains 18S and 28S rRNA. The record is from RNAcentral. RNAcentral also lists the same sequence under 1 other name. Lineage: Eukaryota; Metazoa; Arthropoda; Insecta; Orthoptera; Acrididae.